Molecule: ribosomal RNA, 773 nt
Filed under: uncultured Mycobacterium sp.
Lineage: Bacteria; Bacillati; Actinomycetota; Actinomycetes; Mycobacteriales; Mycobacteriaceae
Description: bacterial SSU rRNA
Rfam family: Bacterial small subunit ribosomal RNA
Source: RNAcentral
UAGGUGGUUUGUCGCGUUGUUCGUGAAAUCUCACGGCUUAACUGUGAGCGUGCGGGCGAUACGGGCAGACUAGAGUACUGCAGGGGAGACUGGAAUUCCUGGUGUAGCGGUGGAAUGCGCAGAUAUCAGGAGGAACACCGGUAGCGAAGGCGGGUCUCUGGGCAGUAACUGACGCUGAGGAGCGAAAGCGUGGGGAGCGAACAGGAUUAGAUACCCUGGUAGUCCACGCCGUAAACGGUGGGUACUAGGUGUGGGUUUCCUUCCUUGGGAUCCGUGCCGUAGCUAACGCAUUAAGUACCCCGCCUGGGGAGUACGGCCGCAAGGCUAAAACUCAAAGGAAUUGACGGGGGCCCGCACAAGCGGCGGAGCAUGUGGAUUAAUUCGAUGCAACGCGAAGAACCUUACCUGGGUUUGACAUGCACAGGACGCGUCUAGAGAUAGGCGUUCCCUUGUGGCCUGUGUGCAGGUGGUGCAUGGCUGUCGUCAGCUCGUGUCGUGAGAUGUUGGGUUGAGUCCCGCAACGAGCGCAACCCUUGUCUCAUGUUGCCAGCGGGUAAUGCCGGGGACUCGUGAGAGACUGCCGGGGUCAACUCGGAGGAAGGUGGGGAUGACGUCAAGUCAUCAUGCCCCUUAUGUCCAGGGCUUCACACAUGCUACAAUGGCCGGUACAAAGGGCUGCGAUGCCGUAAGGUUAAGCGAAUCCUUUUAAAGCCGGUCUCAGCUCGGAUUGGGGUCUGCAACUCGACCCCAUGAAGUCGGAGUCGCUAGUAAUC